This 22-nucleotide microRNA is filed under the name Bos taurus (domestic cattle). Its description in RNAcentral is "bta-miR-2285bv". Lineage: Eukaryota; Metazoa; Chordata; Mammalia; Artiodactyla; Bovidae. The record is from miRBase by way of RNAcentral.
AAAACACUCGAACAAACAUUUU